RNAcentral lists this ribosomal RNA (382 nucleotides) under uncultured eukaryote. RNAcentral's name for it is "partial 18S ribosomal RNA". It matches the Rfam family "Eukaryotic small subunit ribosomal RNA", at positions 592 to 976 of the family's 1831-position model. The record is from RNAcentral.
CAAUAGCGUAUAUUAAAGUUGUUGCAGUUAAAAAGCUCGUAGUUGGACUUCUGCGGGUGGCGGCCGGUCGUGCUCGAAACGGGCGUGAACUUGGCGUGCUGCCCGCAUCUUUGGGGAGAUUGUGCGUGGCAUUAAGUUGUCGUGCAUGGGAUUCUCAUCAUUUACUGUGAAAAAAUUAGAGUGCUUAAAGCAGGCCUUUGCCUUGAAUACAUUAGCAUGGAAUAAUAAGAUAGGACCGUUGUCUAUUUUGUUGGUUUACAGAUGUCGGUAAUGAUUAAUAGGGAUAGUUGGGGGUAUUCGUAUUCAGUUGUCAGAGGUGAAAUUCUUGGAUUUUCGGAAGACGCACGACUGCGAAAGCAUUUACCAAGGAUGUUUNCAUUAA